UAAGACGUAGGGUGCGAGCGUUGUCCGGAUUUAUUGGGCGUAAAGAGCUCGUAGGCGGCUCGUCGCGUCGACCGUGAAAACCCGCAGCUUAACUGCGGGCUUGCGGUUGAUACGGGCGGGCUAGAGUUCGGUAGGGGAGACUGGAAUUCCUGGUGUAGCGGUGAAAUGCGCAGAUAUCAG
This 180-nucleotide ribosomal RNA is filed under the name uncultured bacterium. RNAcentral describes it as "partial 16S ribosomal RNA". It matches the Rfam family "Bacterial small subunit ribosomal RNA", at positions 521 to 700 of the family's 1533-position model. The record is from RNAcentral.